RNAcentral lists this ribosomal RNA (388 nucleotides) under uncultured bacterium. Its description in RNAcentral is "bacterial SSU rRNA". It matches the Rfam family "Bacterial small subunit ribosomal RNA", at positions 30 to 418 of the family's 1533-position model. The record is from RNAcentral.
AUUGAACGCUGGCGGCAUGCCUUACACAUGCAAGUCGAACGGCAGCACGGGAGCAAUCCUGGUGGCGAGUGGCGAACGGGUGAGUAAUGUAUCGGAACGUACCUUUCAGUGGGGGAUAACGUAGCGAAAGUUACGCUAAUACCGCAUAUUCUGUGAGCAGGAAAGCAGGGGAUCGCAAGACCUUGCGCUGAUUGAGCGGCCGAUAUCAGAUUAGCUAGUUGGUGAGGUAAAGGCUCACCAAGGCGACGAUCUGUAGCGGGUCUGAGAGGAUGAUCCGCCACACUGGAACUGAGACACGGUCCAGACUCCUACGGGAGGCAGCAGUGGGGAAUUUUGGACAAUGGGCGCAAGCCUGAUCCAGCCAUGCCGCGUGAGUGAAGAAGGCCUC